This 1495-nucleotide long non-coding RNA is filed under the name Canis lupus familiaris (dog). RNAcentral describes it as "lncRNA (ENSCAFG00000055232.1)". The record is from RNAcentral. Lineage: Eukaryota; Metazoa; Chordata; Mammalia; Carnivora; Canidae.
UUAAACUAUACACUCUUUAUUAUUAAUGUACAUUUAUGAAAAAUUCUUCACAGUUACAAAAGUGCAUGGUUAUAAAAUCAUCUCCAUACAAAGGUUGGCAUCUUCCCUUUCCCCAUCCCUCCCUAACCCUCCCACCCCCAGACAUCAGCAUUCCACAGGACAAGAGCUUAGAAAAACUGAGAGCUCAGUGAAUCCAGAGCUCUCCAACCCAAAGCUGUGGCAAACAUGGUGGUGAUUUACAUAGGACUUUGCAACUUGCCUCCUUCAUCUCCCUUUUGCCUCCUCUGAGGUGGGUAGAGCAGACAAGAUUCUCUAGCUUUGGGAAAUUGUUCUUCUGAGAAAUGGGCAAAGAUGUCUCCUUAUACUCUUCUAGAGCUGAAAAGAAUGUCAGAGCAAUAUCCACAAAAACAUCUAUAAGGAAAAUGGAGGCUGUAGGUGUUUCCUGAUGGUUGAAGAGAAAUGCCUUUCUUGGGCUAUUCAAACCAUAUGCCAUCUUCCUUGAAAAGAGCUAGCAAACUCUAUAGCAACUCUGGGGACCUAUUUCUGCAGAAUUUCCCGGUACUCCCUAUGGGAAUGGAGAAACAGGUGAGGAUUUGUCUGUUGGUGACUGGAAUCAACUGGUCCAGAGUGGUGUGGUACAGAUUGGGGUCUUUUCUAAAGAACAAUUUUCUUGGUGCACUAUCAUAGCACUGUUGGUUAGCUAAACUUUGAUAUCCUCUGGCCCAGCAUAAAGGAAGCUUCUGUGAUAAGGACAAAUCUCUGAGAGAUAGAGAAUGGAGGGAAGCAGUCAGGCUGUUGCUAGGUUGCCUCAGCCACACAUUUAUCUCUUUUUAUAUUUUUCUGAGCAGUGAUCCCUAACCCAAUCCUAAUGGGAUUCCACUUAUUGUACCAAGUGAUGCAAUGAACAGAUGGUUGAGUAUACUGUGUCAGAGAACUGAACUCAAGUUCCAGAGAGGUUGGCCCCAUAUCAGUAGAUACCCAACGUUCAUGGAACCUCAUGAACAGACACAUUGCCUCAGAGAUGCCCCAAUAUUUACACGUUAACUAGUCUGAAAAAAACUUAUUCAAGGCUUGUAGGAAUAUCUUCAUGGUUUCUUGGUCAGCAGGAUUGUGUGAACAUUUACAACUAGGGCAGUUAUAUUACCUCUAGAGAGGUGUGCUUCUAGAAGCUUGGUUCUGAUAGCCUGCACAAGAGGGUGGUGGUGAUGGGAGACAUGGAAUUCCUUGUCAGGUGAGAAGUUUUAUUAUUGUGCUUUAGCUAACUGGGGACCUUCUAGCUGCUGGAGAAGAAUCUGUUCUUUAAAUGUCAUGUAUCUUACUCAGAAAGAUUUGCCAUUAAUGGGGACAAAUAGUCUUAUUAGAAAGGACAUUUGAAUUCAAGGGGGUAUUAGGUGUCUUGUUUCAUUCUAGUUCUAUGCAAAAAGGUACAUAUCUUAAAAUAUAUUAACUAUAUUUCAGUAAAUAAGAGUCUCUAGGAGAUUAUAAUAGAUGUAUA